This 1053-nucleotide unclassified non-coding RNA is filed under the name Penaeus japonicus. RNAcentral describes it as "chymotrypsin BI-like, transcript variant X2". The record is from RNAcentral. Lineage: Eukaryota; Metazoa; Arthropoda; Malacostraca; Decapoda; Penaeidae.
UCGUGUUUUAACUUUCAGUUGCGCUCAUUGGCGCUUCCUUGAUAUGGUGCUUUAGACCUUCUGUUUAGGAAAUGUAUGUAUUUCUUCCUUACAUCACAGGCUCUAUACUAUGUAUAUAAUGAUAGGAUUGAAUUUAUUUUCCAGGAUGCAAAUCAGGCGACGAAUAUUUCCUGGAUACCUCUCCCCACGUUCCCUGUCUCUGGACCUCCUCUGGCGGCACCACGCAUCGUAAAUGGCCGGACAGCCGAGCCCCACGCCUACCCAUACCAGGCCGCCCUCUCGUGUAACGGACGCUUCCUCUGUGGAGGAUCUGUGAUAAGUGAUUGGCACGUGGUGACAGCCGCACACUGCGUGGACAGUCCACGAAAAUGUAAGGUUGUUCUGGGUGGCCACGACCUGAAGAGAUGGGAGCGCAGUCGACAAAUCAUAGCCGUGGGCGAAACUUACGUACAUCGCGACUAUUCGAAGAAAUAUAUUCUCAGGGAUCAGGUAACAAGGAAUUUGCUGCCGAUUUGCUUCCCAUUACAUCCCUGAUCCACUUGUCGAAGUGGAAUACAUUGACCACUCCCUGUGGGUAGGCCGGGUUGCAACCCUUCGCGGCAAAGGAAGCACUCCCGAAGAGUUGGUUUUCAUAAACAUACGGCCCCCCCGAGUCGCCCUGAAGAAGAAGAUAAAGUUCAACAGUAAGUCACGCGAUUGCAUUUUUGUAUGAGUGUGUGCAUGGAUGUGUGCCUAUGCGUGUGACUGCUUAAUCGCCAUUCAAAGAUCUGACGCUAUUGCAGUUUGGCCUAUUAUGCGUAGGAGAAGAACAACACUCAUCUCAAGUUCUUCCUCAGAAUACGUCCAGCCUGUCAACCUGCCGAAGUCGAGUCGGGAAGAUUGGAUGCCUCUGACACACACAGGAUGGGGAACAACUGCCAAAGGGAGUGGAAUCGAACAUUUUUCGGUUCUCCAAGUAGCAACAACCAAUGCUUUAAAGCAAAAAACUCUUCCCUCCGAAGGACGACUCAAUCACCUGUGUUUAUAGCAGUGUGGAGUCAUCCUGCUAUGUAA